This 492-nucleotide ribosomal RNA is filed under the name uncultured bacterium. RNAcentral's name for it is "partial 16S ribosomal RNA". It matches the Rfam family "Bacterial small subunit ribosomal RNA", at positions 29 to 507 of the family's 1533-position model. The record is from RNAcentral.
AGUGAACGCUGGCGGUAGGCCUAACACAUGCAAGUCGAACGGCAGCACAGUAAGAGCUUGCUCUUACGGGUGGCGAGUGGCGGACGGGUGAGGAAUACAUCGGAAUCUACUUUUUCGUGGGGGAUAACGUAGGGAAACUUACGCUAAUACCGCAUACGACCUACGGGUGAAAGCAGGGGAUCUUCGGACCUUGCGCGAUUGAAUUAGCCGAUGUCGGAUUAGCUAGUUGGCAGGGUAAAGGCCCACCAAGGCGACGAUCCGUAGCUGGUCUGAGAGGAUGAUCAGCCACACUGGAACUGAGACACGGUCCAGACUCCUACGGGAGGCAGCAGUGGGGAAUAUUGGGCAAUGGGCGCAAGCCUGAUCCAGCCAUACCGCGUGAGUGAAGAAGGCCUUCGGGUUGUAAAGCCCUUUUAUUGGGAAAGAAAAGCAGCAGGUUAAUACCCCGCUGUUCUGACGGUACCCAAAGAAUAAGCACCGGCUAACUUCGUG